AGACAACUUUGACGUUUCUUUCGUUUUCUUUUCCGUUCCGACGAACUAUGAAUCAGCCUUGAUGAUAACAGGGAAGUGAUGCAACUAUGACAUAAGAGGUUCCUGCUAUAUUAUUAAGUGAAAAGUUUCGUUGUCUCAUUUGAAAAUCGUUAAUUUUUUUGCCAGCUGCGUACUUAAAAACUUUAUAUCCGAACAUAAUUUACUUAAACUGAAAGUUUUUUAUAUUAAGUGAAAACUGUCAACUUAAAAAGAAAUGCUGCCAGUUCCCAGAAUCGUAGGUUGGGUAAUAGGGUAUAUCCAAGAUCUUUUCAUUAAUAUCUGGUGAAAUUUGGAGAUUUUCCAGCCAUCGUCUCAACGAUAUUAUUAUUGGAAGACAUAAAAAGCUUCCAUAUAAACCCAUAUGCAAUCCUAAAGCGAAACUUCUCUCUUCUGUAGUAUAGUGUCUACCUUUCUUUUUUACAGAGCUGUUGGGAAUUGUUACUGCUGGACUAUGCAUUUGGUUGCUUACAGACCCAGUGAAAUUUAGUAUUGGCUUAUUACAAGCAAGCUGGGAUGGUGGCGACUCUCCUAAAGUAGGAAUUGCUGCAGGAGUUUUAAUGCUUGUUGUUGGAAUAUCUUUCUGCUUUAUAAAUUCAGAAGGACGAUUUAAUUUUUUUGCAGGAGCCUUAGUCGUGGUUUUGGCUCUUUCUAUUGCAUCUAUGUCUGUUGCCAUUAAAGAUCAUCAAGAUAUAAAGAAAGCUGCAGAUAUUCUGCCAUUCGGUGAUCUCUUGAAGACAUACGAUAAAAUGAUGAACAGAUUGAAAGUCGUGGCUGCCAUUGGUGGUAUUGAUGCAAUUGCUAUGCUUAUAUGUGUAGCUGUGCUCUACAAGAAUCGCUCAUAAUGCAACAUAUUUCUUUGUAAAAAGCGAUAAUUCAAAGAUAAUUGAAUUAUCAAAUAUGGAAAUAGUUUGAAUUCUUGAAAAUGCAUUUUAUUUACGAAAGUUUAUUUGUUUGUUACAUUAUAAAAUAUAAGUAAUCCUCGUAUAAUACGGUAGAUAUGUUCUUAAAAAAUGCCGUGUUGAGUGAAACUGUGUGUUAUGAGAGCUGGAGCCAAUACAAAAAAGGGAGUUAUCUUCCAAAACCAAUUAAAGAGAGAACUUUUUUUUUAAUUUCACAUAAACUUAAUUUUUCUUAAGAAUAUUAAUAACACGAAACAAAGAAAAAAUA
This 1206-nucleotide long non-coding RNA is filed under the name Androctonus crassicauda. The record is from RNAcentral. Lineage: Eukaryota; Metazoa; Arthropoda; Arachnida; Scorpiones; Buthidae.